GAUGAACGCUGGCGGCGUGCCUAAUACAUGCAAGUCGAGCGAACAGACGAGGAGCUUGCUCCUCUGACGUUAGCGGCGGAUGGGUGAGUAACACGUGGAUAACCUACCUAUAAGACUGGGAUAACUUCGGGAAACCGGAGCUAAUACCGGAUAAUAUAUUGAACCGCAUGGUUCACUAGUGAAAGACGGUUUUGCUGUCACUUAUAGAUGGAUCCGCGCCGCAUUAGCUAGUUGGUAAGGUAACGGCUUACCAAGGCAACGAUGCGUAGCCGACCUGAGAGGGUGAUCGGCCACACUGGAACUGAGACACGGUCCAGACUCCUACGGGAGGCAGCAGUAGGGAAUCUUCCGCAAUGGGCGAAAGCCUGACGGAGCAACGCCGCGUGAGUGAUGAAGGUCUUCGGAUCGUAAAACUCUGUUAUUAGGGAAGAACAAAUGUGUAAGUAACUAUGCACGUCUUGACGGUACCUAAUCAGAAAGCCACGGCUAACUACGUG
RNAcentral lists this ribosomal RNA (497 nucleotides) under uncultured bacterium. Its description in RNAcentral is "partial 16S ribosomal RNA". It matches the Rfam family "Bacterial small subunit ribosomal RNA", at positions 28 to 507 of the family's 1533-position model. The record is from RNAcentral.